UACGGAGGAUCCGAGCGUUAUCCGGAUUUAUUAGGUUUAAAGGGAGCGUAGGCGGGUUGUUAAGUCAGUUGUGAAAGUUUGCGGCUCAACCGUAAAAUUGCAGUUGAUACUGGCAUCCUUGAGUACAGUAGAGGUAGGCGGAAUUCGUGGUGUAGCGGUGAAAUGCUUAGAUAUCACGAAGAACUCCGAUUGCGAAGGCAGCCUGCUGGACUGUAACUGACGCUGAUGCUCGAAAGUGUGGGUAUCAAACAGG
RNAcentral lists this ribosomal RNA (253 nucleotides) under uncultured bacterium. RNAcentral's name for it is "partial 16S ribosomal RNA". It matches the Rfam family "Bacterial small subunit ribosomal RNA", at positions 524 to 776 of the family's 1533-position model. The record is from RNAcentral.